This 118-nucleotide ribosomal RNA is filed under the name Pteropus alecto (black flying fox). The record is from RNAcentral. Lineage: Eukaryota; Metazoa; Chordata; Mammalia; Chiroptera; Pteropodidae.
GUCUACGGCCAUGCCACCUGAACAAGCCUGAUUCCGUCUGACCCUGGAAGCUAAGCAGGGUCGGGCCUGGUUAAUACUUGAAUGGGACACCACCUAGAAAGACCAGGUGCUAUAGGUG